CAUCUCAUUAUAUAUAUUUUUUUAAUUUUAUUUAUAAAUAUAUAUAUAUAUUUAUUAUAUAUAGUAUUUUAUUUUUAUAUAGAAAUAUUAUUAUAUAAUAUUUUAUUUAUAAAUUUGUAAUUAUUUAUUAAUAUCUCUAAAUAUAUUAACAUGUUUAUUAUAAUUUUAAAUAUAUUUAAUCUAUAUAUAAAAAUUAUAAUAAUAUAUAAAAUAUUAUAAUUAUUAUAUAUNAAUAAAAAAUAUUAAAUCGUUUUUUAUCUUUUUUUUUUUCUUCCAACUAAACCACCGUCAUGAAAAACUUUUUUUUUCCUCCAAACCAAACACUAACAACAUAAAACCGUUUUUUCACCGAAAAUUUUUUUUCACUGAAAAUUUUUUUUUCUACAGUUUUACGUGGGACCAAAGACACCCUUAGUCUCUAACCGAAAAACAAGAUAUGGGGGAUUCGAAUUUGGUACGUCCUAUUUUAAUGCCAUAUGAAACAACCGGUUUCCAAAAGGCCGAAUAUCGAAAUAUGUAUAAUAUUAUUGUAAGAUCCCAGAUAGUCCUAUAUAUGAGAUAUAAUAGGAUUAAAAAUUUUUAAUCCGGCUAUAGCAUUUUGCACGGUGGUUAGACCUAAGAUGUUAAGAGAGUAAACGAAUUAGGACUAGAAUAGUUCUAAGAUGGAUGAUCUUCUGAAAAGUGGGGUGUCACAGUUGGUAUCAAAGUCAAUUACCGGUCGAAAGUAUAAGAUGAGUCUCGACUAAGUCAAAUUAUAAGUGGGAAGAUUGAGGUUCUCAUGCUGAUGACUAUUUUGGAUAGAGUGCGGUUCACUAUAAAAUCGACUAAGACUAGCGAAACGAGUCUCAUAUCGUAUGAUACUUGUGAGUCUAAACCUGACGAAAAUGUGGCCAUCACAGUUAUCA
RNAcentral lists this long non-coding RNA (905 nucleotides) under Ananas comosus (pineapple). Its description in RNAcentral is "long non-coding RNA (ACOM_LNC022772)". The record is from RNAcentral. Lineage: Eukaryota; Viridiplantae; Streptophyta; Magnoliopsida; Poales; Bromeliaceae.